RNAcentral lists this transfer RNA (71 nucleotides) under Callithrix jacchus (white-tufted-ear marmoset). It matches the Rfam family "tRNA". From Rfam's summary of the family: Transfer RNA (tRNA) molecules are approximately 80 nucleotides in length. The record is from Rfam by way of RNAcentral. Lineage: Eukaryota; Metazoa; Chordata; Mammalia; Primates; Cebidae.
UAGGACAUGGUAUGAUAGGUAGCACAGAGAAUUUUGGAUUCUCAGGGUAGGUUCAAUUCCUAUAGUUCUAG